CACAUAGGGGUGCUGCAAAGCAUUGUGGCUGAGAACAUACCCUGUAAAACUUGAUCCGGAUAAUACCGGCGUAAGGAAUGGAAUUA
This 86-nucleotide non-coding RNA is filed under the name bovine gut metagenome. Its description in RNAcentral is "TPP riboswitch (THI element)". It matches the Rfam family "TPP riboswitch aptamer (THI element)", at positions 8 to 91 of the family's 105-position model. From Rfam's summary of the family: Vitamin B(1) in its active form thiamin pyrophosphate (TPP) is an essential coenzyme that is synthesised by coupling of pyrimidine and thiazole moieties in bacteria. The previously detected thiamin-regulatory element, thi box was extended, resulting in a new, highly conserved RNA secondary structure, the THI element, which is widely distributed in eubacteria and also occurs in some archaea. The record is from RNAcentral.